GGGGAAAGCUCAGCAAAGAAAUCGAGGACUCCGGCCUUGAGUUGUGGACUUGAGAGGUAUCGCCAAUGGUGGCACAGGUGGGGGCCUCUUGGAAAAGGGCACCACAGAGGGUGUGAGUCCUGUUUGCCAUCUGUAGUCCGCUGUGUACGGCAUGCCUCCUCCGAGUCACGUUCCUUGGAAUUGGAGCGCGAAGGUGGUGGUGGCUUUCAUCUCAAGCUAAGUAUGGGUUCGAGACCGAUAGCAAACAAGUACCAUGAGGGAAAAUUGAAAAGAGCUUUGGAAAGAGAGUUAAAAGUGCCCGAACUUGCUGAUAGGGAAGCGAAGGGAGCUGACGUUGCUUGGUAACAUCUUCCGCGCAGGACUAGGAUGGGUUCUGAUUGCAAUGUGUGUUGUGUUUCUUGCCAUGCGUGUCAAUGCCAAGUAAUGAGUGGGGAGAGCUCCAGGGAUAAUGAUUGUUUCUGUCCCCGGGUAGACGAAUAUGUCUGGGUGCAUCCAUUUGUGGGCUGAAA
Molecule: ribosomal RNA, 509 nt
Filed under: Prorocentrum lima
Lineage: Eukaryota; Dinophyceae; Prorocentrales; Prorocentraceae
Description: eukaryotic LSU rRNA
Rfam family: Eukaryotic large subunit ribosomal RNA
Source: RNAcentral